RNAcentral lists this ribosomal RNA (495 nucleotides) under uncultured bacterium. RNAcentral describes it as "partial 16S ribosomal RNA". It matches the Rfam family "Bacterial small subunit ribosomal RNA", at positions 28 to 507 of the family's 1533-position model. The record is from RNAcentral.
GACGAACGCUGGCGGCGUGCCUAAUACAUGCAAGUAGAACGCUGAAGGAGGAGCUUGCUUCUCUGGAUGAGUUGCGAACGGGUGAGUAACGCGUAGGUAACCUACCUGGUAGCGGGGGAUAACUAUUGGAAACGAUAGCUAAUACCGCAUAAGAGUAGAUGUCGCAUGACAUUUGCUUAAAAGGUGCAAUUGCAUCACUACCAGAUGGACCUGCGUUGUAUUAGCUAGUUGGUGAGGUAACGGCUCACCAAGGCAACGAUACAUAGCCGACCUGAGAGGGUGAUCGGCCACACUGGGACUGAGACACGGCCCAGACUCCUACGGGAGGCAGCAGUAGGGAAUCUUCGGCAAUGGACGGAAGUCUGACCGAGCAACGCCGCGUGAGUGAAGAAGGUUGUCGGAUCGGAAAGCUCUGUUGUAAGAGAAGAACGAGUGUGAGAGUGGAAAGUUCACACUGUGACGGUAUCUUACCAGAAAGGGACGGCUAACUACGUG